RNAcentral lists this non-coding RNA (30 nucleotides) under Mus musculus (house mouse). Lineage: Eukaryota; Metazoa; Chordata; Mammalia; Rodentia; Muridae. The record is from RNAcentral.
UAAGAAAGUAAAUUCUUUAGAACUCUGAAA